CAUUAGAGAGGAGAGGAGACGACCGAGCGCGGGAAACAGGAGAGCAGACGACCGACCGACUUGGGUGUUCGCCGACAACUGACUUAGGUAAGCUAAGACAGUGAAACAUCUUCUCCGACGACUACCACCUAUGUUCGAAAUCCCUACCGCCAUGCAUAGGAGAUUUGCUUUGAGUCAGUUGGAGUUAGGAAUUUCAUGCUCUACAAGAAGCCCAAGAUGGAGAAUGAUGCUGCCAUUGAUGAUGAAAAGCAGAGGAUUGACAGGAAGGGGAAUGGAGAAGUUCUGUUUGAGGCUUUAAUUGUAAUAAAAUAGAAGUUCUAUUUUUUGUAACCAUUUUUUCCCCUUGCAAUAAAAUAGAGAAGUUCUAUUUUUA
Molecule: non-coding RNA, 373 nt
Organism: Camellia sinensis
Lineage: Eukaryota; Viridiplantae; Streptophyta; Magnoliopsida; Ericales; Theaceae
Source: RefSeq, a predicted model, not a curated record